This 312-nucleotide long non-coding RNA is filed under the name Mustela putorius furo (domestic ferret). RNAcentral describes it as "lncRNA (ENSMPUG00000026608.1)". The record is from RNAcentral. Lineage: Eukaryota; Metazoa; Chordata; Mammalia; Carnivora; Mustelidae.
UUUCCCCCAGAGUGGGUGUGGAACCUGAUGCGGGGCUUGAACUCACCACCCUGAGAUCAAGACCUGAGCUGAAAUCAAGAGAUGGACGCUCAACCGACUGAGCCACCCAGGUUGGGAGCUGUUGGUCUGCCGUAUUCAUUUCUGAGUUUGUCUGAGUUCCUGUUGCCGUCUUGAAGUGACGUACUUUGUCCAGCCCUGGGUAAGUACGCCUGUGUGCUCCCCGUAUAAACACACACAUGCACAGCACACUAGAGAACAAGAAAGCCCCAGCCCUCCCCCUGAACAGAUCCUGUGCCAAGACCAACACAGGGG